UUGGUUGACAUAUUUUAAUGGCAAUGCAACCUCUGACUCCAGCAGAGGCACCUAAUACCUCUCUGAAAGCAAAGAGGCAAGCACAACACUGCACAGCAUGGCGCUACCCGUUCUUGCAUCCAGGAAUAGGAACACAGCCAGGGCACCCAGGAGCAUGCUGGCUGCUUCUUCUCAUUAGCACCUGGCAAAGAGCUGAACAAAGAGUCCUUUCAGCAGCACAUUGGCAAAGGGACCCUGCGCAGGGAUGCUCAGCUGGAUGCCUCCAUUUCAACGACUUCAUCCAGGGGCUGGGUCUGCACAUGGACCUUCUUUGGGGGGAUGUAGGAGCCCAUCCCAGCAGCACGCUCUGCCUCCUCCUGUGUAUAGGGCUCCUCACUCAGCUGCUUCAGCCUCUUCUUGUGCACCUUGGAUCUGAAGUGCUCUUUCAUGCUUGUCAGGUCCACAAAGUAGCGCGCGCAGUGCAGGCAGUAGAACUGGGCGCAGCCCGGCAGAUCGGGGUCGGGCUCCUGGCGCAGCAGCCGGGCAGCCCGGCCGGGCUCCAGAUCCGCGUGGAUCUCAUCCAGAUCCCGACGUCGCCGCUUUGUUUUCGCCUGCCGGGCCAGCGAGUGCGCCCGGUGCGCGCCUGUGCGGCGGCUGCUGCGCGGCGACAUGGCAGCCGAG
Molecule: long non-coding RNA, 660 nt
Filed under: Gallus gallus (chicken)
Lineage: Eukaryota; Metazoa; Chordata; Aves; Galliformes; Phasianidae
Source: RNAcentral